RNAcentral lists this unclassified non-coding RNA (312 nucleotides) under uncultured fungus. RNAcentral describes it as "sequence contains ITS1". The stretch from base 1 to 104 matches the Rfam family "5.8S ribosomal RNA", at positions 50 to 154 of the family's 154-position model. Lineage: Eukaryota; Fungi. The record is from RNAcentral.
AAAGUGCGAAAAGUAAUGCGACUUGCAUAAAUCGUGAACCAUUGAGUUCUUGAACGCAUAUUGCACCCUUUGGUCACCCGAAGGGUCUGCCUGUCUGAGUAUUGAUUAACUAUUCUCGGCUAUUUCAGUCGGAUAUGAGCGCGCCGGUGAUCCUCUUUUGAGGCCCGGUGGCUUGAAACAUCCACGUGUGCCGAUGCACCGCGUGUCCUUGGGCAGUUCUCUGCACUCCACGCACCGCUUCCACACCCCCCCCAAUGCGCAUCCACAACAAUACUCAAUCUCAGAUCAGGCAGGACUACCCGCUGAACUUAA